UACAGAGGUCUCAAGCGUUGUUCGGAUUCAUUGGGCGUAAAGGGUGUGUAGGUGGCGCCGUAAGUCGGGUGUGAAAUUUCGAGGCUUAACCUCGAAACUGCACUCGAUACUGCUCUGCUUGAGGACUGGAGAGGAGACUGGAAUUCACGGUGUAGCAGUGAAAUGCGUAGAUAUCGUGAGGAAGACCAGUGGCGAAGGCGGGUCUCUGGACAGUUCCUGACGCUGAGGCGCGAAGGCCAGGGGAGCAAACGGG
RNAcentral lists this ribosomal RNA (253 nucleotides) under uncultured bacterium. Its description in RNAcentral is "partial 16S ribosomal RNA". It matches the Rfam family "Bacterial small subunit ribosomal RNA", at positions 524 to 776 of the family's 1533-position model. The record is from RNAcentral.